This 19-nucleotide non-coding RNA is filed under the name Arabidopsis thaliana (thale cress). Lineage: Eukaryota; Viridiplantae; Streptophyta; Magnoliopsida; Brassicales; Brassicaceae. The record is from RNAcentral.
UGGGAAUUGCGAUUGCCAA